RNAcentral lists this ribosomal RNA (253 nucleotides) under uncultured bacterium. Its description in RNAcentral is "partial 16S ribosomal RNA". It matches the Rfam family "Bacterial small subunit ribosomal RNA", at positions 524 to 776 of the family's 1533-position model. The record is from RNAcentral.
UACAGAGGGUGCAAGCGUUAAUCGGAAUUACUGGGCGUAAAGCGCACGUAGGCGGCUUGGUAUGUCGGGUGUGAAAUCCCCGGGCUCAACCUGGGAACUGCAUCCGAAACUGCCUUGCUGGAGUAUGGGAGAGGGAAGCGGAAUUUCCGGUGUAGCGGUGAAAUGCGUAGAUAUCGGAAGGAACAUCAGUGGCGAAGGCGGCUUCCUGGACCAAUACUGACGCUCAGGUGCGAAAGCGUGGGGAGCAAACAGG